This 80-nucleotide non-coding RNA is filed under the name Anaerolineaceae bacterium. Its description in RNAcentral is "c-di-GMP sequence". It matches the Rfam family "c-di-GMP-I riboswitch aptamer". From Rfam's summary of the family: GEMM was predicted in a large-scale screen for bacterial structured RNA regulatory elements. Genes associated with GEMM are involved in a diverse array of functions, including chemotaxis regulation, signal transduction, secretion and chitin. The record is from RNAcentral. Lineage: Bacteria; Bacillati; Chloroflexota; Anaerolineae; Anaerolineales; Anaerolineaceae.
UUUCGAUAAAGGUAACUCCAUUAUAAAACGGGGACGCAAAGCCAAGGGCGGUUGAUCAAGAGAAUUGCUGGGCUGCCGAA